This 510-nucleotide long non-coding RNA is filed under the name Capra hircus (goat). RNAcentral describes it as "lncRNA (ENSCHIG00010021435.1)". The record is from RNAcentral. Lineage: Eukaryota; Metazoa; Chordata; Mammalia; Artiodactyla; Bovidae.
UGCGGUCCUUUUCCUUCUCUGCACCCUGGCGCUUUCCAUGAGGUCAGGCACCUUUGAGUGAGUGGGCUGCUGCUCCGUGUUCUGCUGAGGGAAAACGUUUGGAGGUGUCACAUUAAUAGCACAGCACAGCACAUGCUAAUUCAUAGGUCACCACUGGUUUCCCCUUCACCAAUCUCAGAGCUUGAAUCCUUGUGAAUGUUAAAGGCCCAACGGCCUAAUUUUUCCUCAUGUAAUCACAGAAAAUGGCCACAAGGUGGCAGCACUGCUUCAUGCCACAAUUUUUUUUUUUAAACCUGUAAUUUCGUUGCUAUUGGAAUAGAGUCGUUUCUGAUGUGGUAUUUGUUUACGAUGUACAGGAAUUCAAUUUAGUCAUAUAUGGAUAUUUAUUCAUUCUCUUUCAGGUUCUUUUUUGCAUAUAGGUGAUUACAGUAUGUUCAAUAAACUUCCCUCUGCUUUUCAGCAAUUAAUUUUUGAUCAUAUUUUGAUUAUAUAUUAAUAUAUAUAUGUUAA